CCUACGGGUGGCAGCAGUGAGGAAUAUUGGUCAAUGGACGCAAGUCUGAACCAGCCAUGCCGCGUGCAGGAAGACGGCUCUAUGAGUUGUAAACUUCUUUUGUACGAGGGUAAACGCAGAUACGCGUAUCUGUCUGAAAGUAUCGUACGAAUAAGGAUCGGCUAACUCCGUGCCAGCAGCCGCGGUAAUACGGAGGAUUCAAGCGUUAUCCGGAUUUAUUGGGUUUAAAGGGUGCGUAGGAGGUCGGGUAAGUUAGAGGUGAAAUUCCGGGGCUCAACUUCGGAAUUGCCUCUGAUACUGGUCGGCUAGAGAGUAGUUGAGGUAGGCGGAAUGUAUGGUGUAGCGGUGAAAUGCUUAGAGAUCAUACAGAACACCGAUUGCGAAGGCAGCUUACCAAGCUACUUCUGACGUUGAGGCACGAAAGCGUGGGGAGCAAACAGGAUUAGAUACCCUUGUAGUC
RNAcentral lists this ribosomal RNA (460 nucleotides) under uncultured bacterium. Its description in RNAcentral is "partial 16S ribosomal RNA". It matches the Rfam family "Bacterial small subunit ribosomal RNA", at positions 338 to 795 of the family's 1533-position model. The record is from RNAcentral.